GAUGAACGCUGGCGGCGUGCCUAACACAUGCAAGUCGAACGGAGACACGCAUUUAAGACCUUCGGGUCAAAGGGGGGAAGGCUGAGUGGCGGACGGGUGAGUAACACGUGGGCUACCUGGGACAUAGAGGGGGAUAACUGAGAGAAAUUUCUUAUAAUAUCGCAUAAGCACACACUGCCGUAUGGCCGUGGGUGAAAAGUGAAUCGCGAUGGGAUGGACCCGCGUCUGAUUAGCUAGUUCGCAGGGUAAGAGCCUACCACAGCGACGAUGAGUAGCCGAGCUGGGAGGAAGAACGGCCACAAUUGGGGUAGGACACAGCCCAAACUCCUACGGGAUGCAGGAGUGGGUGAUACUGCACAAUGGGGGGAACCCUGAUGCAGCGACGCCGGGUAAGUAAAGAAGUAGGUCGGUAUGUAAAUCUCUAUCAGCAGGGAAGAUAAUGACGGUACCUGAAGAAGAAGCCCCGGCUAACUACGUG
Molecule: ribosomal RNA, 478 nt
Filed under: uncultured bacterium
Lineage: Bacteria
Description: partial 16S ribosomal RNA
Rfam family: Bacterial small subunit ribosomal RNA
Source: RNAcentral